UUUUCUCUGCUAGUGAGAUUAUUACAGAAUCAAGGCCAAAUGAAUGUCAGAAAAAACAGGACUUCAAUAAAGGAAAUAUCUAGAAGCUGAUAUAAAGGAUUUUAAAGAACAUAGAUCCAGGCCUGAAGUCACCACAGGAAAGAGAUGUAGCAGAAUGGAACCAAAUCAACCAACCAACCAAUCAACAAGCCAAUCAAAACUCCCAAGACUUCUGCUGCUGUUCAGGAGAGAUGCCGGACUUGUAUCAAAUCACUUCUUGCCGUUGUGGUUUUCAGAGCAGGUCGAACAGCCUUGUGACUGGUCCUGUCUCCCAUGGCCUUGGCAUUGGACUUCUAUUAAAAGAGACGUGUCUUCCAUCUGCUGGUUCACUCCCCAAGGAGGUAUGUCAUGAAAAGUUGUGCAGCUGCCUCGCAGCUUCCGUGAGCAGGAAAAAGGACCUGGAAUUUCAGAAGAGACUGAGGCUCCGUGAAUACAGACUGCUGCCUGUGAUGCUCUGAGCAGAGAC
Ochotona princeps (American pika) is the source of this 505-nucleotide long non-coding RNA. RefSeq lists it as uncharacterized. The record is from RefSeq and is a predicted model, not a curated record. NCBI's taxonomy places the organism in Eukaryota, Metazoa, Chordata, Mammalia, Lagomorpha, Ochotonidae. The transcript has 4 exons.